CAGGCCUAACACAUGCAAGUCGAACGAAGGCUUCGGCCUUAGUGGCGCACGGGUGCGUAACGCGUGGGAAUCUGCCCUUAGGUUCGGAAUAACAGUUGGAAACGACUGCUAAUACCGGAUGAUGACGUAAGUCCAAAGAUUUAUCGCCUGAGGAUGAGCCCGCGUAGGAUUAGCUAGUUGGUGUGGUAAGAGCGCACCAAGGCGACGAUCCUUAGCUGGUCUGAGAGGAUGAUCAGCCACACUGGGACUGAGACACGGCCCAGACUCCUACGGGAGGCAGCAGUGGGGAAUAUUGGACAAUGGGCGAAAGCCUGAUCCAGCAAUGCCGCGUGAGUGAUGAAGGCCUUAGGGUUGUAAAGCUCUUUUACCCGGGAUGAUAAUGACAGUACCGGGAGAAUAAGCUCCGGCUAACUCCGUGCCAGCAGCCGCGGUAAU
Molecule: ribosomal RNA, 435 nt
Filed under: uncultured bacterium
Lineage: Bacteria
Description: bacterial SSU rRNA
Rfam family: Bacterial small subunit ribosomal RNA
Source: RNAcentral